Molecule: long non-coding RNA, 2462 nt
Organism: Triticum urartu
Lineage: Eukaryota; Viridiplantae; Streptophyta; Magnoliopsida; Poales; Poaceae
Source: RefSeq, a predicted model, not a curated record
UCCACUCCCACCCCACCGAACUCUCUUGUGAAUCCCUAAAAAAACUCUCGCGAACCUCACCCCCACCCCUUGGUCGACCUCCUCUCCCCCACGAUCUCUUCCCCGCCGCCGCCACCCACGCCGGCCGGUUCCAGCGAGCUCCGGCCGCGCGCAACAUGCCCCCAAGCUCCACCCCUCCCCCCCCUCGUCCAGAUACGUGCCUCAAGGCCUGCAUCCUUGCCUGCGGCUAGGGUUUCAGGCGCCUCCCGUGUUCUUGCCGGAAUCCACCACAAUCGGCGAUGGCGAGGCCGGCGCUUGCGGGAUCCGUCACCGGCGUUGCCCAGGUGCAGUGGGAGGAUGAAGAUGAAGAGGACGAAGCGGGCGACUAUGAAGAGGUAUUAUGGUGGAGGCAAGAUGCAAGGAUAUGUGCUAGACGGAGGAGAGAUUCAGUGACCCCAAGGAUGGACCAAACAGCAGCAGCAGCAUCACAGUAGAACAGUAGAAGCAGCAGCCGCCGCGUUGCUACCACCGCCACCGCUGCUUGGAUUCCAUCGAGGCCAUCUGGACUCGCCUCGCUGCCGCCGCCUGUUGGCCGUCACCAUCAAGGCCAAUCUUCAGUUGAGAUUGGAAGCAUCAAUCAUGUAUUAUUGGUAUGAGGAUUCAGUAAAUUGAUGAUCAUUCAGUCAUGGAGACGAGUUGAUGAAAAGAGGCAUGAAUGCAACUUAUGGGGCAGUAUUUUGAUCUCAUCUCAUGCAUUCAAUUAUUCUUUGUCUUUAUAACAUGCAAUUUUACUAAUUAUUCAUAUAUACUUGCCGUAUCGCCGUAUUGCUGUUUCUGGAAAUUGCCGUAUCCUAUAUCGCCGUACCCGUAUCGUCGUAUCCGUGUCGCCGUAUCGGUGCUACGUAGGUUGAUAGCUUAGUCUUUUUGGAUGGUCCUCUAUCUGUAUAGCAUUACAAGCAACAACCACUGAGCCAUGACAGUCUUUCUAGAUCGUAUUCUAUCUACAUACUCUUACAAGAAACAUGCAACGAGUUAUGAUAUAUAUUUCCAUUCUCAAAAUAACUAUCUUUGAUGCUUCUGAAUAUUUAGCUUUCAAAAUGACUUUACCGAAUAUGUAAGAUUCUAUGCCUAUAAUUUUACUUUUUCACUCUUAAUUUUUGCAAUAGUAUGAUACUCUAUGUAGUUUGUUCUUUAUUAGAAGGAAUUAAAUUUACUGGAAUAGUCUAUUUUACACACACACACACACACACACACACACACACAUUAUUACUUAAUACAUCCAUAUGAGAUUAAAAAACGUACUGGUAUUUAUAUUUUUGAUAUAAUAUAAGUGCACCAGCUCAUACUUUUCAAUAAAAUCACUACAUUGGUUUGAAAGUAGAAACUCCUCAUUUCUUUCCAAUUUAAGACCGCAUUAGAGAAUAUACAUAACACAUCUAUUUUAUUGGUGUGACAAAUUUGCAAGUGCAGUAGCUUAACUGUCACUAAUAUAUGAAAUGUUGCUCUAAGUCUCUUAUGUCACAUGAAUGAAUGUUAUUACAAAAUUUCCUUAUAAAUAUAGUAAUAAACGGGAAGUUGUCAUGUCGACUAUAAUGAACAAUGAUAUUUAUAAUGACCAAGUGUUGUUACUGCUGAUGAUUACUAGUAAUACAACAAUAAUACAUCCGCAACCAAGGGUUAAAUUAAAAUGACCUGACAAUAAAGGGUACAAUGUUGGUAAUAAUCUGCUGUUGCUGAUGCCUUCUUGCUUGCUUGCUUGCGAAUGACCUGGGAAUUACUCCUACUUGGUGCACAAACUUUGCUUGUUGCAAUUUUCCUCAAAAGCUUGGAUUCAGAAUCUAUAAUAAGAUUUGGUCAUGCCUAGCACUGUAUCCUUCUUAAGUUGGGUUUUCCCCAAUUUCUAGGAUUGGUCUGUUAGGUACUCCUUAUAAUUCGUAUAUACUAUGCUGCUGCUAUAUGCUUUUGUUUCUGCGGUUGUUACUUAGUGCUCUAUAGGUUACUAUUAUACUGUACUAAUGCUCCAGGUUCUUUUGAGUUCCUAAUAGUGGUCUUGGUUCAUUGUUUAAUUCCAGGAUUUGUGAGUUCCUAGUAGGGAACACAUGGGCAUGAAGCUACGACAGUGACGAAGACGAUAUCGACAUGGGGCUGCGGCGAUGAUGAUGACGACGACAUCGACAUCGACUCAGGGCUACGGCGACGACGAAGACAAUGACAUCGUCAUGGUGCUGCGGCGGCGGCGACGACGAUGGCAUCAACACCAUCAACACGGCCUUGUGGAGGCGCCGACGCUGACGACAUAGACGCGUGGCACAUAUUGUGUGUGUGUGUGUGUGGGUGUGCAUGCGUGUGUGUGUGUGUGCACACGCGUGCAUGCAUGUGUGCUUGUGCGUGUGUUAAUUAUCUACAUCAGAUAUGUAUGAUUGAUGAUUAACUGUAUGCAUAACAUGUACGUAUUGUGAAAUGCAUGUCAUGUCUAAACUGAA